GAUGAACGCUGGCGGCGUGCUUAACACAUGCAAGUCGAACGGAAAGGCCCAAGCUUGCUUGGGUACUCGAGUGGCGAACGGGUGAGUAACACGUGGGUGAUCUGCCCUGCACUUCGGGAUAAGCCUGGGAAACUGGGUCUAAUACCGGAUAGGACGAUGGUUUGGAUGCCAUUGUGGAAAGUGUUUUCGGUGUGGGAUGAGCUCGCGGCCUAUCAGCUUGUUGGUGGGGUAAUGGCCUACCAAGGCGUCGACGGGUAGCCGGCCUGAGAGGGUGUACGGCCACAUUGGGACUGAGAUACGGCCCAGACUCCUACGGGAGGCAGCAGUGGGGAAUAUUGCACAAUGGGCGCAAGCCUGAUGCAGCGACGCCGCGUGGGGGAUGACGGCCUUCGGGUUGUAAACUCCUUUCGCUAGGGACGAAGCGUUUUUGUGACGGUACCUGGAGAAGAAGCACCGGCUAACUACGUG
Molecule: ribosomal RNA, 468 nt
Filed under: uncultured bacterium
Lineage: Bacteria
Description: partial 16S ribosomal RNA
Rfam family: Bacterial small subunit ribosomal RNA
Source: RNAcentral